AUACGGAGGAUCCGAGCGUUAUCCGGAUUUAUUGGGUUUAAAGGGUGCGCAGGCGGCCAUUUAAGUCAGCGGUUAAAUCGUGGGGCUCCACCCCAUUCUGCCGUUGAUACUGGGUGGCUUGAUUGCGGUCGAGGUUGGCGGAAUUCGUUGUGUAGCGGUGAAAUGCAUAGAUAUGACGAAGAACACCGAUUGCGAAGGCAGCUUACUAAGCUGUUACUGACGCUGAGGCACGAAAGCGUGGGGAUCAAACAGGAUUAGAUACCCUGGUAGUCCACGCUGUAAACGAUGAUUACUGGUUGUUAGCGAUAUAUAGCUAGUGACUGAGCGAAAGCAUUAAGUAAUCCACCUGGGGAGUACGUCGGCAACGAUGAAACUUAAAGGAAUUGACGGGG
Molecule: ribosomal RNA, 392 nt
Filed under: uncultured bacterium
Lineage: Bacteria
Description: partial 16S ribosomal RNA
Rfam family: Bacterial small subunit ribosomal RNA
Source: RNAcentral